Molecule: long non-coding RNA, 221 nt
Organism: Drosophila arizonae
Lineage: Eukaryota; Metazoa; Arthropoda; Insecta; Diptera; Drosophilidae
Gene: dnc
Source: RefSeq, a predicted model, not a curated record
ACCAACAGCAGCAACGGCUGCAAGCAGCAAGCGUAUAACCAACAACCAACAACAAACACAUAACAACAACCGACAACAACAACAACGCGCUCGUGUCUAAAGUCGAGUGUUUUACCAUUUCUAGCCGCCGUUCGACUACUAUAUGUUUUGCGCGACUUUUUUUGCUUAUCAAAUUCCACAGAAAUAUACCGAAAAUAAAAACAAAAUAAAUCUGUAAUAAA